Molecule: ribosomal RNA, 622 nt
Filed under: uncultured fungus
Lineage: Eukaryota; Fungi
Description: SSU rRNA
Rfam family: Eukaryotic small subunit ribosomal RNA
Source: RNAcentral
CUCGUAGUUGAACUUCGGCGCCUGAUGGCCGGUCCGCCUUCUUGGUGUGUACUUGCUCAUCGGGCGCUUACCUCCUGGUGAACUCUGAUGUCCUUUAUUGGGUGUCAGAGCAAACCAGGACGUUUACUUUGAAAAAAUUAGAGUGUUCAAAGCAGGCCUACGCCCGAAUACAUUAGCAUGGAAUAAUAGAAUAGGACGCGCGUUCCCAUUUUGUUGGUUUCUGAGAUCGCCGUAAUGAUUAAUAGGGAUAGUUGGGGGCAUUUGUAUUCCGUCGUCAGAGGUGAAAUUCUUGGAUUGCCGGAAGACAAACUACUGCGAAAGCAUUUGCCAAGGAUGUUUUCAUUGAUCAAGAACGAAGGAAGGGGGAUCGAAAACGAUCAGAUACCGUUGUAGUCUCUUCUGUAAACUAUGCCAAUUGGGGAUUAGCACAGGAUUUUCAAUGACUGUGUUAGCACCUGAAGAGAAAUCUUUAAAUGAGGUUCGGGGGGGAGUAUGGUCGCAAGGCUGAAACUUAAAGGAAUUGACGGAAGGGCACCACCAGGUGUGGAGCCUGCGGCUUAAUUUGACUCAACACGGGGAAACUCACCAGGUCCAGACACAAUAAGGAUUGACAGAUUGAGAG